RNAcentral lists this ribosomal RNA (446 nucleotides) under uncultured bacterium. RNAcentral describes it as "partial 16S ribosomal RNA". It matches the Rfam family "Bacterial small subunit ribosomal RNA", at positions 338 to 795 of the family's 1533-position model. The record is from RNAcentral.
CCUACGGGAGGCAGCAGUAGGGAAUUUUCGGCAAUGGGUGGAACCCUGACCGAGCAACGCCGCGUGAACGAAGAAGUUAUUCGUAAUGUAAAGUUCUUUUAACAGGGAAGAAAGAGAAAUUUGACGGUACCUGAAGAAUAAGCUCCGGCUAACUACGUGCCAGCAGCCGCGGUAAUACGUAGGGAGCGAGCGUUAUCCGGAAUUAUUGGGCGAAAAGGGUGCGUAGAUGGAAUAGUAAGUCUUUUGUAAAAAUGCUGGGCUCAACCCAGUAGGGCAAAAGAAACUGCAAAGCUAGAGUAUGACAGAGGCAAGUGGAACUACAUGUGUAGCGGUAAAAUGCGUAAAUAUAUGUAAGAACACCAGUGGCGAAGGCGGCUUGCUGGGUCGAUACUGACAUUGAGGCACGAAAGCGUGGGGAGCAAACAGGAUUAGAUACCCCGGUAGUC